GGGUUGUGAGGUUAAGCGACUAAGCGUACACGGUGGAUGCCCUGGCAGUCAGAGGCGAUGAAGGACGUGCUAAUCUGCGAAAAGCGUCGGUAAGGUGAUAUGAACCGUUAUAACCGGCGAUGUCCGAAUGGGGAAACCCAGUGCAAUUCGUUGCACUAUCGUUAACUGAAUACAUAGGUUAACGAGGCGAACCGGGGGAACUGAAACAUCUAAGUACCCCGAGGAAAAGAAAUCAACCGAGAUUCCCCCAGUAGCGGCGAGCGAACGGGGAGCAGCCCAGAGUCUGAAUCAGCUUGUGUGUUAGUGGAACGGUCUGGAAAGUCCGACGGUACAGGGUGAUAGUCCCGUACACCAAAAUGCACAGGCUGUGAACUCGAAGAGUAGGGCGGGACACGUGGUAUCCUGUCUGAAUAUGGGGGGACCAUCCUCCAAGGCUAAAUACUCCUGACUGACCGAUAGUGAACCAGUACCGUGAGGGAAAGGCGAAAAGAACCCCGGCGAGGGGAGUGAAAAAGAACCUGAAACCGUGUACGUACAAGCAGUGGGAGCACCUUCGGGUGUGACUGCGUACCUUUUGUAUAAUGGGUCAGCGACUUAUAUUCUGUAGCAAGGUUAACCGUAUAGGGGAGCCGCAGGGAAACCGAGUCUUAACUGGGCGUUAAGUUGCAGGGUAUAGACCCGAAACCCGGUGAUCUAGCCAUGGGCAGGUUGAAGGUUGGGUAACACUAACUGGAGGACCGAACCGACUAAUGUUGAAAAAUUAGCGGAUGACUUGUGGCUGGGGGUGAAAGGCCAAUCAAACCGGGAGAUAGCUGGUUCUCCCCGAAAGCUAUUUAGGUAGCGCCUCGUGAAUUCAUCUUCGGGGGUAGAGCACUGUUUCGGCUAGGGGGUCAUCCCGACUUACCAACCCGAUGCAAACUACGAAUACCGAAGAAUGUUAUCACGGGAGACACACGGCGGGUGCUAACGUCCGUCGUGAAGAGGGAAACAACCCAGACCGCCAGCUAAGGUCCCAAAGUCAUGGUUAAGUGGGAAACGAUGUGGGAAGGCACAGACAGCCAGGAUGUUGGCUUAGAAGCAGCCAUCAUUUAAAGAAAGCGUAAUAGCUCACUGGUCGAGUCGGCCUGCGCGGAAGAUGUAACGGGGCUAAACCAUGCACCGAAGCUGCGGCAGCGACACUAUGUGUUGUUGGGUAGGGGAGCGUUCUGUAAGCCUGCGAAGGUGACCUGUGAGGGUUGCUGGAGGUAUCAGAAGUGCGAAUGCUGACAUAAGUAACGAUAAAGCGGGUGAAAAGCCCGCUCGCCGGAAGACCAAGGGUUCCUGUCCAACGUUAAUCGGGGCAGGGUGAGUCGACCCCUAAGGCGAGGCCGAAAGGCGUAGUCGAUGGGAAACAGGUUAAUAUUCCUGUACUUGGUGUUACUGCGAAGGGGGGACGGAGAAGGCUAUGUUAGCCGGGCGACGGUUGUCCCGGUUUAAGCAUGUAGGCUGAUUAUCCAGGCAAAUCCGGAUAAUCAAGGCUGAGGUGUGAUGACGAGGCACUACGGUGCUGAAGUAACAAAUGCCCUGCUUCCAGGAAAAGCCUCUAAGCAUCAGGUAACAUCAAAUCGUACCCCAAACCGACACAGGUGGUCAGGUAGAGAAUACCAAGGCGCUUGAGAGAACUCGGGUGAAGGAACUAGGCAAAAUGGUGCCGUAACUUCGGGAGAAGGCACGCUGGUGUGUAGGUGAAGCCCCUGCGGGUGGAGCUGAGACCAGUCGAAGAUACCAGCUGGCUGCAACUGUUUAUUAAAAACACAGCACUGUGCAAACACGAAAGUGGACGUAUACGGUGUGACGCCUGCCCGGUGCCGGAAGGUUAAUUGAUGGGGUUAUCCGUAAGGAGAAGCUCUUGAUCGAAGCCCCGGUAAACGGCGGCCGUAACUAUAACGGUCCUAAGGUAGCGAAAUUCCUUGUCGGGUAAGUUCCGACCUGCACGAAUGGCGUAAUGAUGGCCAGGCUGUCUCCACCCGAGACUCAGUGAAAUUGAACUCGCUGUGAAGAUGCAGUGUACCCGCGGCAAGACGGAAAGACCCCGUGAACCUUUACUAUAGCUUGACACUGAACAUUGAGCCUUGAUGUGUAGGAUAGGUGGGAGGCUUUGAAGCGUGGACGCCAGUCUGCGUGGAGCCAACCUUGAAAUACCACCCUUUAAUGUUUGAUGUUCUAACGUUGGCCCCUGACCGGGGUUGCGGACAGUGUCUGGUGGGUAGUUUGACUGGGGCGGUCUCCUCCCAAAGCGUAACGGAGGAGCACGAAGGUUAGCUAAUCCUGGUCGGACAUCAGGAGGUUAGUGCAAUGGCAUAAGCUAGCUUGACUGCGAGCGUGACGGCGCGAGCAGGUGCGAAAGCAGGUCAUAGUGAUCCGGUGGUUCUGAAUGGAAGGGCCAUCGCUCAACGGAUAAAAGGUACUCCGGGGAUAACAGGCUGAUACCGCCCAAGAGUUCAUAUCGACGGCGGUGUUUGGCACCUCGAUGUCGGCUCAUCACAUCCUGGGGCUGAAGUAGGUCCCAAGGGUAUGGCUGUUCGCCAUUUAAAGUGGUACGCGAGCUGGGUUUAGAACGUCGUGAGACAGUUCGGUCCCUAUCUGCCGUGGGCGCUGGAGAAUUGAGGGGGGCUGCUCCUAGUACGAGAGGACCGGAGUGGACGCAUCACUGGUGUUCGGGUUGUCAUGCCAAUGGCACUGCCCGGUAGCUAAAUGCGGAAGAGAUAAGUGCUGAAAGCAUCUAAGCACGAAACUUGCCCCGAGAUGAGUUCUCCCUGAGACUUUAAGUCUCCUGAAGGAACGUUAAAGACGAUGACGUUGAUAGGCCGGGUGUGUAAGCGCAGCGAUGCGUUGAGCUAACCGGUACUAAUGAACCGUGAGGCUUAACCUUACAACGCCGAAG
RNAcentral lists this ribosomal RNA (2923 nucleotides) under Klebsiella pneumoniae. Its description in RNAcentral is "bacterial LSU rRNA". It matches the Rfam family "Bacterial large subunit ribosomal RNA". The record is from RNAcentral. Lineage: Bacteria; Pseudomonadati; Pseudomonadota; Gammaproteobacteria; Enterobacterales; Enterobacteriaceae.